AUUAGAGUUUGAUCCUGGCUCAGGAUGAACGCUGGCGGCGUGCCUAAUACAUGCAAGUCGAACGCACAGCGAAAGGUGCUUGCACCUUUCAAGUGAGUGGCGAACGGGUGAGUAACACGUGGAUAACCUACCUCAAGGUUGGGGAUAACAUUUGGAAACAGAUGCUAAUACCGAAUAAAACUUCGUAUCGCAUGAUACAAGGUUAAAAGGCGCUACGGCGUCACCUAGAGAUGGAUCCGCGGUGCAUUAGUUAGUUGGUGGGGUAAAGGCCUACCAAGACAAUGAUGCAUAGCCGAGUUGAGAGACUGAUCGGCCACAUUGGGACUGAGACACGGCCCAAACUCCUACGGGAGGCUGCAGUAGGGAAUCUUCCACAAUGGGCGAAAGCCUGAUGGAGCAACGCCGCGUGUGUGAUGAAGGCUUUCGGGUCGUAAAGCACUGUUGUAUGGGAAGAACAGCUAGAGUAGGGAAUGACUUUAGUUUGACGGCACCAUACCAGAAAGGGACGGCUAAAUACGUGCCAGCAGCCGCGGUAAUACGUAUGUCCCGAGCGUUAUCCGGAUUUAUUGGGCGUAAAGCGAGCGCAGACGGUUGAUUAAGUCUGAUGUGAAAGCCCGGAGCUCAACUCCGGAAAGGCAUUGGAAACUGGUCAACUUGAGUGCAGUAGAGGUAAGUGGAACUCCAUGUGUAGCGGUGGAAUGCGUAGAUAUAUGGAAGAACACCAGCGGCGAAGGCGGCUUACUGGACUGUAANCUGACGUUGAGGCUCGAAAGUGUGGGUAGCAAACAGGAUUAGAUACCCUGGUAGUCCACACCGUAAACGAUGAA
This 827-nucleotide ribosomal RNA is filed under the name uncultured bacterium. RNAcentral's name for it is "bacterial SSU rRNA". It matches the Rfam family "Bacterial small subunit ribosomal RNA", at positions 1 to 813 of the family's 1533-position model. The record is from RNAcentral.